GCUGGACAAGUACUGAGUCAGAAGUGCACUGUAAGUGCACCAAACAGCCUUUCUUGUUAGUAGCCCACCAGAUAUUAAUUACUCAAAUGCAAAUCUGGUGACUCUGGCAGGUUUCUAGAAGCAAGGUUCACCAUCCUCCUUGACUCUCCUCACUGCUCUUUCACUUCUUUCUUUUAAUUUUUCUUUUACAUUUUGCUAGAAAGGUUUAUUGAUGGCUUUGUGGUUUUGCUUUUUACAUUUCCCUUUUCCUUCCUCUAUUUUUCCAAAAGGUGGACUUUGACUGGAUUUACCAGAAUUAGAGGAGCUUCAUAAAGGUUCAGGUGCUGACACACUACUACAGAUCUAACAGCACUGAUGAAAGACUCUCUCACCAGUCAGCACCGAGGGAUGUAGAGAUUGCAGUGCUUCUUUCACUUGCUGAAUUAGGAACUCAUGGCUUUCCAAGUGAAGAAAGUGACAUCAGGACACUAAGCUGAAAGGCAUUUUCUACAAUGUGCGGUAUUAGACGACUCCUUAGGAUUCAGUAGCUGAACACUCAUUCUCAGCUUCUCCUGCUGCCAGAGUAUUCCUGUGCCACAAGUAGAAUGUGAGUGAUCUCUUCCCAUCCAAGGCCCACAGGUAGGAAGCUGACAUAACUGUUAUGAUUUGCAGACAGAGCAAAGCUUUGAAGUGAGGAUCCUCUCUCUCUCUCUCUCUCUCUCUCUCUGAUGCUCAUAGGCAAUGUCAUCAGUUACUGAUACCUAGAUAAGAUGUGCAAAAAGAAUACCACGUGACAGCAAGAACGGUGAACCAAGGAAGGCAAGGAGAGAGGAAGAUCUGCUGUAUCCCAGCCUGUGACUAGGCUUCUCCUCCCAUGGAAAAUUCUGAAAUUGGAGCAAGACAACUGCUGCUUGGAGAUUAUGCAGUAAGAGUAGAGACAGUUAGUAGUUAUUUCAAUUAAGCAAGUCAUAUAGGUCCUUCAUAAUCACUGACAAGAAAAAACACAAUUCCUCUCAACCUAAAAUAGACAUCUAAAACAGGUCAAAUAUGCAUCCUCCUACACAUAGUUAUGGGAGCCUAGAAGACCAGCUCAGACAGAGACAUUUGUGUUUCAGAAUAUGAAGUCAGGUGAAAUGAAUCCCACCUGCAUGGGCUGCCAAGUGUGAGGUGUUUAAAG
This 1156-nucleotide long non-coding RNA is filed under the name Phasianus colchicus (ring-necked pheasant). RNAcentral's name for it is "lncRNA (ENSPCLG00000022220.1)". The record is from RNAcentral. Lineage: Eukaryota; Metazoa; Chordata; Aves; Galliformes; Phasianidae.